UUGUUUUUAUGUUUUGAAGAAAGUGUUAUUGAUUUUGGAUUGCACUAAAGACUAUGGAUAAAGGUGAAUGCCUCAAACGGUCAAGCCGAACGUCUUGUGUUCGAAGCAUUCAGAAUGAGUGUAGGAAAGCUCCAGUCUCAUCCCUUCUUUAUCACUUAAGGCUCGUGACGUACGAUCCUAAUCGCCAUUUAUUGUAUUUUUGAAUUUG
Molecule: long non-coding RNA, 208 nt
Filed under: Lathyrus oleraceus (garden pea)
Lineage: Eukaryota; Viridiplantae; Streptophyta; Magnoliopsida; Fabales; Fabaceae
Description: Pisum sativum (pea) long non-coding RNA (PSAT_LNC038807)
Source: RNAcentral